CUUACCCUAGCCUCUUCCUUUUAGGCA
This 27-nucleotide non-coding RNA is filed under the name Homo sapiens (human). Lineage: Eukaryota; Metazoa; Chordata; Mammalia; Primates; Hominidae. The record is from RNAcentral.